CAAUAGCGUAUAUUUAAGUUGUUGCAGUUAAAAAGCUCGUAGUUGGAUUUUGGUUAAGAGGGCGCGGUCGGCCGUUUGGUCUGUACUGCGUUGUCUUGACUUCCUGAUGAGGACAUGCUCUUGGUUAACGCUGAGACAUGGAGUCAUCGUGGUUACUUUGAAAAAAUUAGAGUGUUCAAAGCGGGCUUACGCUUGAAUAUAUUAGCAUGGAAUAAUGGAAUAGGACCCUGGUCCUAUUUUGUUGGUUUUGAGGACUAGAGUAAUGAUUAAUAGGGAUAGUUGGGGGCAUUCAUAUUUAAUUGUCAGAGGUGAAAUUCUUGGAUUUAUGAAAGAUGAACUUCUGCGAAAGCAUUUGCCAAGGAUGUUUUCAUUAAUCAAGAACGAAAGUUAGGGGAUCGAAGAUGAUCAGAUACCAU
RNAcentral lists this ribosomal RNA (416 nucleotides) under uncultured eukaryote. RNAcentral describes it as "bacterial SSU rRNA". It matches the Rfam family "Eukaryotic small subunit ribosomal RNA", at positions 592 to 1018 of the family's 1831-position model. The record is from RNAcentral.